RNAcentral lists this ribosomal RNA (460 nucleotides) under uncultured bacterium. Its description in RNAcentral is "partial 16S ribosomal RNA". It matches the Rfam family "Bacterial small subunit ribosomal RNA", at positions 338 to 795 of the family's 1533-position model. The record is from RNAcentral.
CCUACGGGAGGCAGCAGUGAGGAAUAUUGGUCAAUGGCCGAGAGGCUGAACCAGCCAAGUCGCGUGAGGGAAGACGGCCCUACGGGUUGUAAACCUCUUUUGUCGGGGAGCAAAGCGAGUCACGUGUGACUCAUUGAGAGUACCCGAAGAAAAAGCAUCGGCUAACUCAGUGCCAGCAGCAGCGGUAAUACGGAGGAUCCGAGCGUUAUCCGGAUUUAUUGGGUUUAAAGGGUGCGUAGGCGGCCUUUUAAGUCAGCGGUUAAAGUCGGUGGCUCAACCAUAGAAGUGCCGUUGAAACUGGGAGGCUUGAGUAUGGUUGAGGCAGGCGGAAUGCGUGGUGUAGCGGUGAAAUGCUUAGAUAUCACGCAGAACCCCGAUUGCGAAGGCAGCCUGCCAAGCCAUGACUGACGCUGAUGCACGAAAGCGUGGGGAUCAAACAGGAUUAGAUACCCUAGUAGUC